UCGAGAAUCUUCGGCAAUGGGCGCAAGCCUGACCGAGCGACGCCGCGUGGAGGACGAAGGCCUUCGGGUUGUAAACUCCUGUCGAGGGGGAGAAAGGCCCUGAAAGGGGCUUGAUCGAUCCCUGGAGGAAGCACGGGCUAAGUUCGUGCCAGCAGCCGCGGUAAGACGAACCGUGCGAACGUUAUUCGGAAUCACUGGGCUUAAAGCGCGUGUAGGCGGAUUGGAACGUCGGCGCCUGAAAUCCCCCGGCUCAACCGGGGAACGCGGCCCGAAACGACCAGUCUGGAGGGACGUAGGGGGGUCUGGAACUUCCGGUGGAGCGGUGAAAUGCGUUGAGAUCGGAAGGAACGCCCGUGGCGAAAGCGAGACCCUGGACGUCUACUGACGCUGAGACGCGAAAGCUAGGGGAGCGAACG
Molecule: ribosomal RNA, 416 nt
Filed under: uncultured Paludisphaera sp.
Lineage: Bacteria; Pseudomonadati; Planctomycetota; Planctomycetia; Isosphaerales; Isosphaeraceae
Description: bacterial SSU rRNA
Rfam family: Bacterial small subunit ribosomal RNA
Source: RNAcentral